Molecule: ribosomal RNA, 253 nt
Filed under: uncultured bacterium
Lineage: Bacteria
Description: partial 16S ribosomal RNA
Rfam family: Bacterial small subunit ribosomal RNA
Source: RNAcentral
UACGGAGGGGGCUAGCGUUGUUCGGAAUUACUGGGCGUAAAGCGCACGUAGUCGGCUUUGUAAGUUAGAGGUGAAAGCCCGGGGCUCAACUCCGGAAUUGCCUUUAAGACUGCAUCGCUAGAAUUGUGGAGAGGUAAGUGGAAUUCCGAGUGUAGAGGUGAAAUUCGUAGAUAUUCGGAAGAACACCAGUGGCGAAGGCGACUUACUGGACACAUAUUGACGCUGAGGUGCGAAGGCGUGGGGAGCAAACAGG